GGGGCCUCCGUUUGCCAAAAAUAGGCCGUGGCCAAAACCGCGCCCAAAAAUAACCGCCCGACGGCCGGGGCGCCAAGUUCGUCCAGCGGGAAAACGCCACAAAAACGGGUGGGCUAUAGCCUUGGGGGGUGGGUCUGGCCCACUUCGUCCGCCGGACUCGGAAUGCCGCGAGACUUUACAAGGCGCCUCCGUGUUCCAAAAAUAGGCCGCGGGCAAAGCCGCGCCCAAAAAUAACUGCCCGAAGGAUGGGGCGUCAAGUUAGACCAGCGGAAAAAGGCCACAAAAACGGGUGGGCUAUAGCCUUGGGGGGUGGGGCUGGCCAACUUUGUCCGCCGGACUCGGAAUGCCGCGAGACUUUGCGAGGGACCUACGUAUGCCAAAAAUAGGCCGCGGACAUAGCCGCGCCCAAAAAUAACCGCCCGAAGGCUGGGGCGCCAAGUUUGUCCAGCGGAAAAAGCCCACAAAAAUGGGUGGGCUAUACCCUUGGGGGGUGGGGCUGGCCGACUUCGUCCGCCGGAUUCGGAAUGCCGCGAGACUUUUCGAGGGGCCUCCGUGUGCCAAAAAUAGGCCGCGGGCAAAGCCACGCCCAAAAAUAACCGCCCGACGGCCGGGGCGCCAAGUUCGUCUAGCGGAAAAAGGCCACAAAAAUGGGUGGGCUGUAGCCUUGGGGGGUGGGGCUGGCCCACUUCGUCCGCCGGACUCGGAAUGCC
Molecule: long non-coding RNA, 710 nt
Filed under: Citrus x clementina
Lineage: Eukaryota; Viridiplantae; Streptophyta; Magnoliopsida; Sapindales; Rutaceae
Description: Citrus clementina (C. clementina) long non-coding RNA (CCLE_LNC005889)
Source: RNAcentral